This 1284-nucleotide ribosomal RNA is filed under the name Triticum aestivum (bread wheat). RNAcentral describes it as "partial small subunit ribosomal RNA". The record is from RNAcentral. Lineage: Eukaryota; Viridiplantae; Streptophyta; Magnoliopsida; Poales; Poaceae.
AUGGCAUGCAAUGGCUUUUUUUCUGCUACUACUUAUAUUAUGUAUCAAAGAUCUACGCGUAAUUGGAAGGUGCUUUGUUGGAACGUUCGAGGCCUCAACUCUGAAGCUCGUCAGCGUUCUGUUAGAGAGAAAAUUACUGAAAGUCAGUGUGCCAUUGCCUGCCUACAAGAAACUAAGUUGUCUGAUUGUUCCCGUUCGGUAGUUAAGGCAAUAUGUCCUGUGGGCUUUGAUCAAUUUAUUGACUCACCUUCAAGGGGAGCAUCAGGAGGGAUUCUGACAGUCUGGCGAUCUGACUCUUUUAAGGGUGUGUUAAUUGAAGUUAAGCCUUUCGGCAUUGUCAUCAGUUUUACCUCAAUGCAUAAUAAUGAACAAUGGUUCUUAGUUAAUGUGUAUGGGCCAUGUCAGGGUGAGAUGAGGGACGACUUUGUCAACUGGUUGUACCAUCUGCAAGUAGAGCCUGAACAAAAAUGGUUGAUUGUGGGCGAUUUCAAUUUCAUCAGAUCAAUGGAGAAUAGAAAUUUGCCAGGAGGGGAUGUUAAUGAUAUUUUUAUCUUUAACGAGAUCAUUGGUCAUUUAGGGCUGCUUGAACUUCCACUUAAAGGUAGAAGAUUCACAUGGUCUAACAUGCAGGAUCUACCGCUUUUGGAGCAGCUGGACUGGUUUUUUACUUCUGCGAGCUGGAUAAAUCAUUAUCCCAUGACACAAGUGGCACCUCUUGCGAGAACAACAUCUGAUCAUGUUCCAUGUAUUAUCACUAUCAGCACCUCAAUCCCUAAAGCACAUAUUUUUAGGUUUGAAAAUUAUUGGGUGCAACAGCCUGGAUUCAUGGAUUGUGUAUGGGAGGUCUGGAACAAGCCCUCACAUAAACUCCAUAUAUCUGCAGUCAUUAUGGACAAAUUGAAAUCUUUGAGGUUUGCUUUAAAGAAAUGGCAGAAGGGGCUCUCUCACAUUAAAUUGUUAAUUGAAAAAUGCAAUUGGGUAAUUCUUUGGCUGGAUGAUUUAGAGGACUGGAGGCCUCUGUCUAUUCCAGAAAACAAUUUCAGGAAAUUGUGCAAGUUGCACCAUGAACACCUUUUGCAUUUGCAUUAUUUAUAUUGGAGGAAAAGGUGUACUAUCAGAUAUAUUAAGGUGGGGGAAGAGAAUUCCAAAUUCUUCCAGGCCAUGGCAACAGAGAGAUAUAGAAAAAACUCUAUUGCUAGUCUGCAUUUGUCUGAUGGGACUGUUUCUUCAGAUCAUGGGGAGAUAGCUAAGGAAUUCUUGGUAACUUUCAAAGGAAGAAUGUGA